AUGGCCUCAGUACCCUCCGCCGGCUGCCUGCUGGCCAAGAACCAGUACUACCGCACAAGACAGAACUCAGAAUCCAGUGUUUCUUCCAGCUCCUCCUGCUCUUCAGAUCCUGUGAAUGUUGCAGACCAGGACAAAGCAUUUCAUGGGUUACCUGAAUUACUUGAUAAAUGUUGGUGGAUAAAAAGCUUUUUCCAUUGUGAACCAUCUCCACCAACUGUUGGCAGAAAAACACUAUCUGCAAGCAGGAAGAAAAUCUGGAGGAUCACUUGGGUUCCAGACAACAUGAGAAGCAUUUCUUGUCACAGGUGUAGUGAAGGAGGUUGCUGACCAUUUUACAGUAAAGAUUCAG
RNAcentral lists this long non-coding RNA (349 nucleotides) under Anas platyrhynchos platyrhynchos (common mallard). Its description in RNAcentral is "lncRNA (ENSAPLG00000003940.2)". The record is from RNAcentral. Lineage: Eukaryota; Metazoa; Chordata; Aves; Anseriformes; Anatidae.